This 497-nucleotide small RNA is filed under the name Histoplasma capsulatum. RNAcentral describes it as "hypothetical RNA". The record is from RNAcentral. RNAcentral also lists the same sequence under 1 other name. Lineage: Eukaryota; Fungi; Ascomycota; Eurotiomycetes; Onygenales; Ajellomycetaceae.
UAUUUUUUCGCCCCCAGCUUCGAACCCAGGAAUUGCGAAACGUGGGGAAAAACGUGCGGCGAAUUCUUUCCGUGAUGAAUUAUGACGGAAUGGUUCCAGAAACUCCAUUUUUAUCAAUCAAAUUGUUAGAACGCCGCGCAUCUGAUAAUGAUAUCUAGUGAUGAUAUAUCUAGCAAUUAUAUUCAUUGAUGAUAUAGAUAAUACCUAAGCGCAAGGCUUUUCUGAGCUUAUUGCUUCCAUCUGGCACUCAGCUAUAUGUUUCAUGGAGCUCCUCCAAUAUACAUAUCUCUAAUGACUAUUUAACGGCGCGUUUGCCCCUAGCAUUUGAAAUUACUUGUCUUUUCAUCCCCGGAUUCAUGUGCGAGUGUUAGUAUGAAGUUCGCCCUUUGGAGAAGAAGUUUAUGCCGAAGGCGAACAGAUGAGCGGAUUAUCGGCCGGCAAAACUCUCGAGGCUAGUCCAAACGCUCUCCUUCAACUAGUUAACAAUCUACUGGGUC